Lotus japonicus is the source of this 3420-nucleotide RNA transcript. It is a transcript of the gene named cytochrome c biogenesis protein CCS1, chloroplastic-like, with no coding region annotated. The record is from RefSeq and is a predicted model, not a curated record. The transcript is spliced from 5 exons. NCBI's taxonomy places the organism in Eukaryota, Viridiplantae, Streptophyta, Magnoliopsida, Fabales, Fabaceae.
ACUCAUUUAGAUUAACUUCAACAUGUGGUGGUUGUUGUUGUGAUGAGCUUGAUCCACAAUGCUCACUUGAUGACCUUGCUCUCUUUACUAAAAAUUUGUUCAUGACCUUUAUAAAAUUAAAAACAUACCAAUACCAUAAUCAGGUUCGUUCAGGUUUAAUUGUUGGCCUACUGAAAUCAGCAAUUGCGUGGGUUGAAACUCCCCAAGUCUCUUCGUCAUCUUCCCUCAUUCUGGCAUUACCAGCUGUUUUAGAUGCUUUACAGACUACAGAUUGAAACGCCCAGCUCCUCCUAACCUAAAAAUGCUGCAGAUUUUGUCUAAUUUGUCGUUGGCUAUUGGGGAGAUGUUCCUCAUUGCUUUUCUAAUGGGUUUAGGCACUUUUAUUGAUCAAGGUGAGUCUCCUGACCAUUAUUUCCAGAAGUGCCCUGAAGAUCACCCUGUGCUUAGAUUUUUCACUUGGAGAUGGGUUCUUGAUCUUGGUUUUGAUCACAUGUUUUCAUCUCCUAUAUUUCUGGGGAUGUUGGCUCUCCUGGGUGCAUCCCUUAUGGCCUACACUUACACAACACAAAUCCCACUAAUCAAGGUUGCAAGAAGGUUCAGUUUCGAUUAGUUCUGUUUGUCAAUUUUCUGUAUUAGUCAAAUUCUUGAUCACUGAAGGCAGAGUUUGUUUCAUAGAUGAUCAUUUUUGCACUCUGCUGAGGCUAUCCUCAAGCAGGAAUUUUCAGAAUCGUUGCUGAGAGCAUCAAUCGAAGAUGUUGGCACUCUAUUAAUGGGAGCUGGACAUGAGGUUAUAUUGCCAUGGCUCAUGCUUAUCUGUCUUUUCCUUUUCUAUAUAUCCUUAAGAAUCAUAGAUUGCCUAGGACACAUAUUUAGGACAUAUAUUAAUGUGCUUUCUAGAUGUUGUGUAUGCUUUUCCACUCUUGGAACUGGUAAUUGUUUUUUCCAUUGUUCAUUAUGGUCUGCUCACAUGGGUACAUACAACUACAUGUACAAGGCAUUUUAUAUCAAAAAAAUAAAAAUAAAGUGGCUUCAAGAUCUUGCUGGAGUUCUUUCUUUCCGUGGUAACUUGAUGGUAUGUGUUUAUUAAUUGCCCCUUUGUUUGUGUGGUUUCUCAUCCUUGGGUUCUUCAUUCAGUUUCAUUAGUAGUUUUGCUUUCUCCUGUUGUAUUGAUUCUCUCACUGGGUUUUUCAUCAUGUGCCCUCUCUCAUUCUUCUUUUCUCUCUUUUAAAGAGACAAAAAUUACCAUCUUUAAUCUUCUAUCCUUUAUUUUCAAAUCCCAAUUAAAGAGACAAGAUAUAUGGUUCUAUUGUGAUAUCUUUUACACACUAAAGAAUAAGUAGAUUUACAAACAUUAGAUAAAUAAAGGAUCAAGAAACCUAACAAAGCAAUUAACUAAUUUGAUUUUGUAACCGAAAAUUAUAUCACAAGUCACAACAUAUUAUAACUGAAUUUUGAGUGACUAUGUGCUACAUGAAGCUCAAAACAGUAAAAUUAAUUUAUAAGAUAUUGGCUUUUGUUUGUGUUUCGUGAGAGCUGUCUGUGUUCUAUUCUCUGGAGUUCUGUGAGCUUUUGCAAAUCUGGUUGUCUAUGUGGCUUUUUGGUGGGUGUGUGGGGGGCUGUUGGUCUGGGUAGUUUAAGCUUCCAUGUGAUAUUUAUUGAUCUAGGAUAGUUGUUUAGCUCAACUUUUUUCUGUUAUUUAAGUGUAUAUAAGAUUGACUCUAUUGCUGAUGUUAGUUUUGUAAAUCUUCAUUUCCUAAUUUCUAUGUCUAUAUAUUAAUUUCCUAAUUAAUUUUACCGUGUAUACUUAGUAGUAACUUGACAUCAUUCUUUGAUCUCAUUGAUUGCCAUGAUUCUAUCUCUCUUUAGAUAGGGGUUCUCUUUCACCAAUGUUAUAGUAUGACCAUCCUUAAUGCUAGUGGAUAGUAGUAAAAAGGGAAACUUUGUUUCUAAUGUCUAUGUCUAUAUAUUCACUUCUUUAUGUCUUUAUUGUGUAUAUAUUGUGUGUAUUGUGUAUAUUACUGUGCAUACUAUGUGUUAUUGCAUAUGUUAUGGAAUGGACAUUAGAACAUGCUUAUCUUUGCAGUAUUUGGUGAUGUAGGUUGUACAAUACGCUAAAAUGAAAAGUUGUACAUACUUUACCAAAGUGUUUUAGAAUUUUAGCAUAUAUCUGUUGUUUGGUUGCAUGUCCCUUGAUUCCCUUCCCAACAUAGAGCAGUUAGGAUUCAUAAGUAACCAUGUUCCUAAUUAUAAAGUCCCAUUCAAUAAUUUAUGUCAUUUUUUAUUCACUAUUUUUCUCACCUAUGUGAUCAUUAAAGUUUGUAUAUUGUCUCCCUCCACCAUUUAUUCGAAAUAGUCUGAUUUGUAUAUAUAGCCCACUACAAUUGCCAUCUUCAAUGAAUUUUUAGGAACAACAUGUUUUUUUAAUUUCUAUCAUGGAACAAGCCAAACUGUCAAGCCUCCCAGAAGGAGGGAAAUGCUUUAUGGAACCACUUUACCAUGAUGGGGAGUACAUUAUCCUUUCUAAGUAGUUUGUCAGAGAGUUUCCAGACAUUAAGCUCUUUGCCAGAGAUCAUCUUUGUGACCCAGCAGUUAAUAUUUUUGAACCUCAAGUCAAAACUGUUUCUAAACAGGUACAUCUUAAAGGUGGAUUAGAGCAGAUUCGAGCAACACACCAAAUUGAUCUAUCUGCCACGUUUCAUUUCACAUACAUUUGUCAAGGGUGCUUUAAUAUCAGAAUCUUUUUUUGAUGAUGACAAUGAGGUGGACUUUGAAGGCCAAGAGGAGCAGCAUCCCAACAAUGAAGGAGAGUUCAUUUGGUUUCCUGAAAUCACUCAUGCACUCGCCGCUGGUGGUCAAACAUUGCUCAUUCCUGCUGGGGUUGUUACUAAGCAUCUCGAGCACCGACCUUCUGCAUUGAACAUGAUAUUGCUUAAUGGGAUUACUGAGGUGUGGGAGCCGAGAUGGGCCAAGGAUAGGCCUCGGAAGCGUGUUUUUGCCACACGCUGGUAUCAAUUCUGCAGGGGUGAAGUUUGAAUUUUAAGGAUCAAUUGCUUUUCUUCAAGAUGCAACAAGAAGACACCUACAAAGUUGUGGUCCAUCGGAAAUAAAGGGUGAUUUGUUGAAGUGUUGGUUGAUUAAUUUUCCGUGUGCUGUUUUCUCAUUUGAAGGAUUUUGGAAGAUUAACUUGAUUUUUCUUACUUGACUAAGGACACUUUAUCAAAUAGGAGCUAUGAAUUUAUAGUUUGUUUUGUUAUGCCUUUUGUCAUUGCUAUUAAUCCAAUUUAGGUAGAUGAUCCUUAAAGGAUUGCGAAUUGGAAUUAGAAAAAGCGGCAAGCCAACUUCACCAUCUAUUCUAGAACAUUUAUAUAAAUACUCAAUUGUUCCAUUAUUGGCUUAUCUAAUGUAAUUUUAUUUUUUACA